This 71-nucleotide transfer RNA is filed under the name Ameiurus melas (black bullhead). It matches the Rfam family "tRNA". Rfam says of the family: Transfer RNA (tRNA) molecules are approximately 80 nucleotides in length. Their secondary structure includes four short double-helical elements and three loops (D, anti-codon, and T loops). Lineage: Eukaryota; Metazoa; Chordata; Actinopteri; Siluriformes; Ictaluridae. The record is from Rfam by way of RNAcentral.
GCAUUGGUGGUUCAGUGGUAGAAUUCUAGCUUGCCAUGUUGGAGACCUGGGUUCGAUUCCCAGCCAACGCA